RNAcentral lists this ribosomal RNA (364 nucleotides) under uncultured bacterium. RNAcentral describes it as "partial 16S ribosomal RNA". It matches the Rfam family "Bacterial small subunit ribosomal RNA", at positions 338 to 698 of the family's 1533-position model. The record is from RNAcentral.
CCUACGGGAGGCAGCAGUGAGGAAUAUUGGUCAAUGGGCGCGAGCCUGAACCAGCCAAGUCGCGUGAGGGAUGACGGUCCUACGGAUUGUAAACCUCUUUUGCCGGGGAGCAAGCGUGCGUUCGUGAACGCGCGUCGAGAGUACCCGGAGAAAAAGCAUCGGCUAACUCCGUGCCAGCAGCCGCGGUAAUACAGAGGUCUCAAGCGUUGUUCGGAAUCACUGGGUGUAAAGCGUGCGUGGGCGGUUUCGUAAGUCGGGGGUGAAAGGCGCGGGAUCAACCCGGGGACGGCACAUGAUAUUGGGGGGCUAGAGUAGUGGUGGGGGAGGCGGAAUGCGUGGUGUAGCAGUGAAAUGCAUAGAUAUC